Long non-coding RNA from Panicum hallii, 2322 nucleotides. RefSeq lists it as uncharacterized. NCBI's taxonomy places the organism in Eukaryota, Viridiplantae, Streptophyta, Magnoliopsida, Poales, Poaceae. The transcript has 4 exons. The record is from RefSeq and is a predicted model, not a curated record.
GUCCGCCAGUGUUCCGGCGCCCAAGCCAUGGGGGCACUGAGCACAGGACUCUGGGGGAGCCGCCUCGGCGGCGAUGACGCCUCCAAUCCCCCAGGCCCCGGCUUCUGGGGGAUGUAGGCGCCGCUUCGCCGCUCAGCGAUUGCUUCCACCGAGAUGGGGGCGGCGGCGAGCGGGGAUACAAUGUUGCCCUGUCCGCGUGGAAGCCUCUCAACCCUCAAAUGUUCAUCUUUGCUGGCUUAUUCGUUUAGGCAACCCUCAUUUAGCUGCCUCUUUUUUUGUUAAGGAAAAAAGAAGCUUUGAGUUCAAUUGCUGCUAGAAUCUUUCAUCGAACUGUGAUACCAGCUGAUUUACCAUUAUUAUCUGUUUAUUCUUUUAUUUGGAAUGCUAUGACAAGUCAUCACUGAAGAGAAUAAAGGAACAGAACGCAGUGCCGCCACCACUUCAUCAUGUGGGGGUGCUGUCUUGUGCAUAGAUGUCAAUUCAGUUAUAAAAAGUUCUUAGGUUCUUCUUGAUUGAGGUAUUAAAAAAUCUUUAUAGAUUUCCAUAAGUGGUGGAGCCAAGUACAGGUUUGUGCAUUCUUCUGUUAUGGUCAAAUGUCAUCAUGCCUGCUUGGCAACAUGCGCAAGUGGAGGUGGAGUCAAGUACAGCUUGGUGACAACUUUCUGCUCCCAGAAAAGGCCAUGAUAUUUGCUUGACACCUAGCUAAGGUAGUGGAACCUCGUAGCUGUUCCAGCCAAUGGUAAGGCCAUGGUUAGCUGCUCCAUGGGUAGGAAAAUCUCUAUUUUUGGGAAACUGGACCAGUUUAGCGAUAUCAGUUUAGGGCUUUCUCAUCCAUACAUCAAAUGAUUUGCAUUGGUUUCUCUCUCUCUCUUUUUUUCUCUCCACUGAUUUCAGUGAUUUUUAAGUUUCUUUCCAGUGAAGUUUACUAGUUCUGUAUUCUGUGGAUAAAAAUUGGUCAGUUGCCAGAGUUCGAUGGGAGCAAUAACGGACGGCUACCAAUAAUUGGUAUACAGCCGCUUUUGUACCCUGCGCAUCUUUUGGUCGGUAUACUGAAUGAUGGUGAUGUUUCUUGGUUAUUGUCAUAAGCUGUUAUUGGACACCUCUGAUGUUUGAAGCCCCUCGGCAAAAAGGAGCCGUCCACUGAGCCUUUGUCCUAGAAUAUGUAGAGUGGUAAGUAACCAACCUGAAUGACGGGAGGAUCAUUGUGGGCCAAUGCCGGGAGGCAAGUAGAUACUCAGAUCAUGACAUGAAGACUUUUGAAGCAAGAGGCCAUGCUGCAACAGAUCUCCAUGGAUCAUGUCGCCCCUUGAUUGAGUACUAGUCAUUAUCCAAGCACACAAGGUAAAACUCAAAAGUUGUGAUUGUGGUUGUUGACAGUGUCCAAGUUCCGUGCGGAUUCGGUUCAUGGAUUGGGCGGUCAACGGCACGAGAUUUGGAGAGAUUCAUUUUUUAUCCCCCAAUCACAACAGUUGCAUGAAAGCUCUUAAGCUCAUAUCCACCCUGCAAGGACUGGAGCAUUUCGUGCCUUGACUUUUUUUUUUUUGCUACUGCUGCGUUAUUUGAAUUGACCUGAAAAAUGUGGAAAUAGUUUAUAAAUAUAACCCGAAAACAGCCGAAGUUAAAUUCGCUUAUCUUGGCGUGCACUUUUGUCCGGGUACUGUGCACAUGAAAGUCAUCAAAUGUGUAGCCUUUCUGUGGACGCACAAGUCUGGUUGUAGUCCUGUCCUGGUAUCACCGUGCAUGUGCUUCAGAAGAAGAGCAGUGAAGAGGAAGGCCAACGGGAAUGGGCUCUGAUCCGGGAUCCAUUCGCGUGAUGCCAACGAGUUCAGUUGCCCACCAAGCAGUACCAACUUGCAUUGUGGUUUCGCUUUCGAUGUGCGCACCGAAAUGGCCACCGGUUUCUGGAGCCUCUUGAGUCAUCUACCUUUGGCAUCUAGGAUGUGUGACUCUUUUCUUUGGAGGUUCACUUCUUGGUACAACAUUCUUGGCAACAUCACAGAUUCUUUCCUGCACCCACUUGCAUUUCAAGCGAAAACUCUGAACGACAGUACGACACGGGCAUCAAGCGGAGAUCACGAGUGCAGUCUGAAGUGUAGAUUGAGGCUCUGAUGGUCACCAGAUACCAAGAGCACGCCUCUGAAUAAUCCACUGAGCUAAGCACCAUGUGAUGUCUGAUCCGCUGCCAGUUUGCUCGAUCGGCACCAACGACUCAGAUGACUAGGCCGAUGUACUGCAACAGCAUUCACAGAUCUUAUCUCUUAUUCACAGCAGUGAUCUACUGACUACUGGUACCCCUCGCAGUUGCAACACUGCAAAGAGCAC